Non-coding RNA from Drosophila virilis, 274 nucleotides. The record is from RefSeq and is a predicted model, not a curated record. NCBI's taxonomy places the organism in Eukaryota, Metazoa, Arthropoda, Insecta, Diptera, Drosophilidae.
UCGCGUGCGCAUCGUUUGAGAGUCGCAGGUGCGAAACAUAAAAUUCGAUGAACUUAGCAAGUGAAUAUAUGUUGUGAUUACAGUGAAUAAAUAUGAAUGAGUCUGUGGCAUCUGGACGAGAGUGCAAUUGUGAAAUAUGCUAAGCUCGCAAUUGUGUGCGUAAAGAACAAGGCAAAGCAACCAAUUUGAGGGGCACCCCGCAUUAGCCCAACCACUGAACAGACCUGACUUGUUUCUUAAAGCAAACUAAACAUAAUAAGCAAAAGCGGCAGCA